RNAcentral lists this ribosomal RNA (789 nucleotides) under uncultured bacterium. RNAcentral describes it as "bacterial SSU rRNA". It matches the Rfam family "Bacterial small subunit ribosomal RNA", at positions 8 to 796 of the family's 1533-position model. The record is from RNAcentral.
AGAGUUUGAUCCUGGCUCAGAUUGAACGCUGGCGGCAUGCCUAACACAUGCAAGUCGCACGCGAAAGGGGGCAACCCCGAGUAGAGUGGCGGACGGGUGCGUAAUACGCAGGAAUCUACCCACGAGUGGGGGACAACCCGGGGAAACCCGGGCUAAUACCGCAUGAGACCUACGGGUGAAAGCGGGGGAUCGCAAGACCUCGCGCUGGUGGAUGAGCCUGCGUCCGAUUAGCUAGUUGGUAGGGUAAAAGCCUACCAAGGCAACGAUCGGUAGCUGGUCUGAGAGGACGACCAGCCACACUGGGACUGAGACACGGCCCAGACUCCUACGGGAGGCAGCAGUGGGGAAUAUUGGGCAAUGGGGGAAACCCUGACCCAGCGACGCCGCGUGUGUGAAGAAGGCCUUCGGGUUGUAAAGCACUUUCGAUGGGGACAAACGUGUCGGGCUUAAUACGUCCGGCCUUGAUGGUACCUAGAGAAGAAGCACCGGCUAACUCUGUGCCAGCAGCCGCGGUAAUACAGAGGGUGCAAGCGUUAAUCGGAAUUACUGGGCGUAAAGCGUGCGUAGGUGGUUGGAUAAGUCAGGUGUGAAAUCCCCGAGCUUAACUUGGGAAUUGCGCUUGAUACUGUCCGGCUAGAGUGUGGUAGAGGGUAGUGGAAUUCCGCAUGUAGCGGUGAAAUGCGUAGAUAUGCGGAGGAACAUCAGUGGCGAAGGCGGCUACCUGGACCAACACUGACACUGAGGCACGAAAGCGUGGGUAGCAAACAGGAUUAGAUACCCUGGUAGUCG